This 468-nucleotide ribosomal RNA is filed under the name uncultured bacterium. RNAcentral's name for it is "partial 16S ribosomal RNA". It matches the Rfam family "Bacterial small subunit ribosomal RNA", at positions 28 to 507 of the family's 1533-position model. The record is from RNAcentral.
GACGAACGCUGGCGGCGUGCCUAACACAUGCAAGUCGAACGGAAAGGCCCUGCUUUUGUGGGGUGCUCGAGUGGCGAACGGGUGAGUAACACGUGAGUAACCUGCCCUUGUUUUUGGGAUAACUUCAGGAAACUGGGGCUACUCCCAGAUAGCAGCCCCCGCUGCAUGGAGGGGGUUGGAAAGUUUCGGCGGUCGGGGAUGGACGCGCGGCUUAUCAGCUUGUUGGUUGGGUAGUGGCAUACCAACGAUUUGACGGGUAGCCGGCCUGAGAGGGUGGCCGGCCUCAUUGGGCCUACGGGACGGACCAGACUCGUACGGGAGGCAGCAGUGGCGAGUAUUGCCCAAUGAGCGCGAGCCUGAUGCAGCAACGCCGCGUGCGGAAAGACGGCCUUCGGGUUGUAAACCGCUUUCGCCUGUGACGAAGCGGGACUGACGGUAAUGUGUAAAGAAGCACCGGCUAACUACGUG